AGCAUCAAAACUACCAGUAGCCUCUUCUCGCAAUAUGGCACUCAUCAGUAGCAAAACAAGGUCGAUUGUCUGCAAAACUGCAAUUGCUCUCUUUGUUGUUGUGAUGAUAUGUUCUAUGUUGCCAUCCUCUGAUGCACGUGGUGCAGUUGGACCGUGGAGAUGCGACCCUUUAAAAAAUUGCACUCGCCAUUUGUGCCACUCUCAUUGCAAAAAAGGAGGAUUUUUUGGUCACAGUGGUAAUUACUUAUGUUUCGACAAGGAUGGGUGUUGCUGCGGAAAAAAGCUUGCGAUGCAAAAAUGACAUCACCGAGGGUGAUCAUGCUUGUGUAAAGCAAUGUUGAUGAAUAAAAUCUUUUUUGUAAUUGAUCAAUAUGCAUUUUAUGCAUUAACAAAUCUUAAUUGAAUAACUUUUGUUUCUUA
Molecule: non-coding RNA, 420 nt
Organism: Lolium perenne
Lineage: Eukaryota; Viridiplantae; Streptophyta; Magnoliopsida; Poales; Poaceae
Source: RefSeq, a predicted model, not a curated record